UUGGAUUUCCUGGACAAACUGCUGCGAUAU
Molecule: non-coding RNA, 30 nt
Filed under: Homo sapiens (human)
Lineage: Eukaryota; Metazoa; Chordata; Mammalia; Primates; Hominidae
Source: RNAcentral